UGCAGCCUGUGGAGGACCCCACGCCGGAGCAGGUGGGUGCCCAAAGGAGGCUGUGACCCCAUAGGAAGCCCAUGCUGGAGCAGGCUCCUGGCAGGACCUGUGGAUCUGUGGAGAGAGGAGCCCACCCUGGAGCAGUGUGCUCCUGAAGGACUUCAGCCCAUGGAAGGGACCCACGCUGGAGCAGUUUGUGAAGAACUGCAGCCCACAGGAAGGACCCAUGGUGGACAAUUUCAUGGAGGACUGUCUCCUGUGGGAGGGACGCCACGCUGGAGCAGGGGAAGAGUGUGAUGAGUCCUGUCCCUCAAGAGGAUGAAGCAGCAGAGACAACAUGUGAUGCACUGACCGUAAACCCCAUUCCCUGUCACCCUGCGCCGCUGGCAGGGAUAGGUAGAGAAUCCGGGAGUGAAGUUGUGCCCAGGAAGAAGGGAGGGGUGGAGGGAAGGUGUUCUGAGAUUUGUUUUUAUUUCUUAAUAGCCUACUCUGGCUGAUUUGUAAUAAAUCGAGUUAAUUUUCCC
Molecule: long non-coding RNA, 515 nt
Organism: Aquila chrysaetos chrysaetos
Lineage: Eukaryota; Metazoa; Chordata; Aves; Accipitriformes; Accipitridae
Exons: 2
Source: RefSeq, a predicted model, not a curated record